This 1201-nucleotide ribosomal RNA is filed under the name Prosthenhystera gattii. Its description in RNAcentral is "partial large subunit ribosomal RNA". It matches the Rfam family "Eukaryotic large subunit ribosomal RNA", at positions 91 to 905 of the family's 3401-position model. The record is from RNAcentral. Lineage: Eukaryota; Metazoa; Platyhelminthes; Trematoda; Plagiorchiida; Callodistomidae.
GAGUGAACAGGGAUGAGCCCAACACCGAAGCCUUCGGUCAUUUGACCGUUAGGCAAUGUGGUGUUCAGGUUGGUGCGUUGAGACACUGCUCCUCUCUAAGUCCAUCAAUGAGUACGGUUGUACUUACAUGGCCCACGGAGGGUGAAAGGCCCGUAAGAGUGGAGUUCAGUCACGACAGUGUCUCUCUGGAUCGACCUUGGAGUCGGGUUGUUUGGGAAUGCAGCCCAGGGUGGGUGGGUAAAUCCAUCCAAGGCUAAAUACAACACGAGAAACAAGUACCGUGAGGGAAAGUUGAAAAGUACUUUGAAGAGAGAGUAAACAGUGCGUGAAACCGCUUAGAGGUAAACGGGUGGAGUUGAACUGCAAUCUCUGUGAAUUCAGCUGGUGAGUGUGAAUUGAGCUUGGUCAAAUUGGGCAGGGCCCCGAGGUAUGCUUAGCUGCAUGUCCUGAUCUCCGGGUCGGGAUGCGCGUUGCUCUUAUCAAGAGCUGUGCGCCUCGGGUGUCCGGCUGGCUCGUUCGCCAGUGCACUUUCUCAGAGUGAUCACCACGACCGGCGCUGCCGUUCGGCUGUCCGGGUUGAAUCGGUCAUUCAUCGUCCUUGUGGUGUUGUUUGGCCGACACGGCAGGUCGCUGGGUGCUCGCUCCGGCGGGUAUUCCGGCAUAUGCUGGCCUGGACGGUUCUGUGCGGUGUGUCGGAGACGGCGGCUUGUGUGUAAAUGCGUGCUCUGUCUGCUGAUGUAUUCUGACUCGGUGGCUGUGUGCUUGUUCAAGCAGGCCCAGUUAUAGUCGGUGUAUGUCGGUGGGCGGUUGCGUGUGUGACACUUCAUCGGGCCUAUAGUCUGUGGUGUUGUGGUAGACUGUCCAUCCGACCCGUCUUGAAACACGGACCAAGGAGAGUAACAUGUGCGCGAGUCAUUGGGCGUAACGAAACCCAAAGGGCCAGUGAAAGUAAAGGUUUGGCUUGUCCAGAAAAAGGGGAGAUCCAGUCGUUUUUCAUGCGUGGUACCACCAAGCUUGGAGCGGCAGGCGCAUCACCGGGCCGUCCCAUGAGGUAGUCACUGUCCCCUGAUGGUGCGCCGUCGGGGCGGAGCAUGAGCGUACAUGUUGAGACCCGAAAGAUGGUGAACUAUGCUUGCGCAGGUUGAAGCCAGAGGAAACUCUGGUGGAGGACCGCAGCGAUUCUGACGUGCAAAUCGAUCGU